This 430-nucleotide ribosomal RNA is filed under the name Acrapex rungwe. RNAcentral describes it as "partial 16S ribosomal RNA". The record is from RNAcentral. Lineage: Eukaryota; Metazoa; Arthropoda; Insecta; Lepidoptera; Noctuidae.
AAUUAAAGGGCUGCAGUAUAUUGACUGUACAAAGGUAGCAUAAUCAUUAGUCAUUUAAUUGAUGACUUGUAUGAAAGAUUGGAUGAAAUAUGAACUGUCUCUUAUUUAAAUAUAAAAUUUAAUUUUUUUAUCAAAAAGUUAAAAUGGUUUAAAAAGACGAGAAGACCCUAUAGAGUUUUAUUAAUAUAUUAAUUAAGAUUAUAUGUAAAAUAAAUUUAAAAUUAAAUUAUUAAUUUUAUUGGGGUGAUAAAAAAAUAUAUUUAACUUUUUUUAAAGUAAAACAUUUAUAAGUGGUUAAAUGAUCCAAUAAUGUUGAUUAUAAGAAUAAAUUACCUUAGGGAUAACAGCGUAAUUUUUUUUUUUAGUUCAAAUAAAAAAAAGAGUUUGCGACCUCGAUGUUGGAUUAAGAUAAAAUUUAAAUGCAGAAGUU